UAUAUUAAGGUGUAAAAAUGUUGCAUAUAAAGUUUUGAUCUUUCAGGUGGUAGUUAAAAUCUAUUUAAUAUAA
Molecule: transfer RNA, 73 nt
Filed under: Pseudomyrmex dendroicus
Lineage: Eukaryota; Metazoa; Arthropoda; Insecta; Hymenoptera; Formicidae
Description: tRNA-Gln
Source: RNAcentral